GACGAACGCUGGCGGCGUGCCUAACACAUGCAAGUCGAGCGAAGUAUAUCUGAGGGAAAUUUUCGGAUGGAACUUAGAUAUAUCUUAGCGGCGGACGGGUGAGUAACGCGUGAGCAACCUGCCUUUCACAAAGGGAUAGCCUCGGGAAACUGGGAUUAAUACCAUAUAAAACUUGUCUUUCGCAUGAAAGAAAAGUCAAAGCGAAUAAGCGGUGAAAGAUGGGCUCGCGUCCUAUUAGCUAGUUGGUGAGGUAACGGCUCACCAAGGCGACGAUAGGUAGCCGGCCUGAGAGGGUGAACGGCCACACUGGAACUGAGACACGGUCCAGACUCCUACGGGAGGCAGCAGUGGGGGAUAUUGCACAAUGGAGGAAACUCUGAUGCAGCGACGCCGCGUGAGUGAAGAAGGCCUUCGGUCGUAAGCUCUGUCCUAGGGAAGAGUAAUGACGGUACCCUACGGAGGAAGACCCCGGCGUAACUACGUGCCAGCAGCCGCGGUAAUAGUACU
Molecule: ribosomal RNA, 507 nt
Filed under: uncultured bacterium
Lineage: Bacteria
Description: bacterial SSU rRNA
Rfam family: Bacterial small subunit ribosomal RNA
Source: RNAcentral